Molecule: unclassified non-coding RNA, 334 nt
Filed under: soil metagenome
Description: partial contains 5.8S ribosomal RNA, internal transcribed spacer 2, and large subunit ribosomal RNA
Rfam family: 5.8S ribosomal RNA (bases 1-120)
Source: RNAcentral
GAUGAAGAACGUAGCGAAAUGCGAUAAGUAAUGUGAAUUGCAGAAUUCAGUGAAUCAUCGAAUCUUUGAACGCACAUUGCGCCCGCCAGUAGUCUGGCGGGCAUGCCUGUUCGAGCGUCAUUUCAACCAUCAAGCCCCCGGCUUGUGUUGGGGACCUGCGGCUGCCGCAGGCCCUGAAAACCAGUGGCGGGCUCGCUAGUCACUCCGAGCGUAGUAAUACAUCUCGCUCAGGGCGUGCUGCGGGUUCCGGCCGUUAAAAGCCUUAUUUACCCAAGGUUGACCUCGGAUCAGGUAGGAAGACCCGCUGAACUUAAGCAUAUCAAUAAGCGGAGGA